This 455-nucleotide ribosomal RNA is filed under the name uncultured bacterium. RNAcentral describes it as "bacterial SSU rRNA". It matches the Rfam family "Bacterial small subunit ribosomal RNA", at positions 46 to 518 of the family's 1533-position model. The record is from RNAcentral.
GCCUAACACAUGCAAGUCGAGCGAGAGAUCCUUCGGGAUGAUCCUAGCGGCGGACGGGUGAGUAACACGUGGGCAACCUGCCUCAUAGAGAGGAAUAGCCUUCCGAAAGGGAGAUUAAUACCUCAUAACAUUGCAGUUUCGCAUGGAACAGCAAUUAAAGGAGUAAUCCGCUAUGAGAUGGGGCCCGCGGCGCAUUAGCUAGUUGGUGAGGUAACGGCUCACCAAGGCGACGAUGCGUAGCCGACCUGAGAGGGUGAUCGGCCACAUUGGGACUGAGACACGGCCCAGACUCCUACGGGAGGCAGCAGUGGGGAAUAUUGCACAAUGGGGGAAACCCUGAUGCAGCCAACGCCGCGUGAGUGAUGACGGCCUUCGGGUUGUAAAGCUCUGUCUUCAGGGACGAUAAUGACGGUACCUGAGGAGGAAGCCACGGCUAACUACGUGCCAGCAGCUGC